This 379-nucleotide RNase P RNA is filed under the name uncultured Sporosarcina sp. RNAcentral's name for it is "Bacterial RNase P class B". It matches the Rfam family "Bacterial RNase P class B". From Rfam's summary of the family: Ribonuclease P (RNase P) is a ubiquitous endoribonuclease, found in archaea, bacteria and eukarya as well as chloroplasts and mitochondria. Its best characterised activity is the generation of mature 5'-ends of tRNAs by cleaving the 5'-leader elements of precursor-tRNAs. Cellular RNase Ps are ribonucleoproteins. The record is from RNAcentral. Lineage: Bacteria; Bacillati; Bacillota; Bacilli; Caryophanales; Caryophanaceae.
UUCAGGUAAUUGCUGCAGUGCUAGACACUGGAGAGGAAAGUCCAUGCUCACACGGUACUGAGAUGUCCGUAGUGUUCGUGCCCGGCCAAAAAAUAAGCCGGGGCGCUGUUUACUCAGCUGACGGCGGAAAUAAUUCCUAAGUCCAUUAUUGGAUAUGGAAGACGUUUCCUGAAAAGUGCCACAGUGACGGAGCUGUAUCGGAAACGGUACAGGUGGAACGAGGUAAACCCCGCGAGUGAGAAACCCAAAUUAUGGUAGGGGCGCUCUUCCGAAGGAAAUGAACGGAGGAAGGGACAGACAAUCGUCUGUAGAUAGAUGAUUACCACCCUGAGUACGAGGUGUAAACCGUUUGAGUACAAGGGAACAAAACAUGGCUUAC